Molecule: ribosomal RNA, 446 nt
Filed under: uncultured organism
Description: bacterial SSU rRNA
Rfam family: Bacterial small subunit ribosomal RNA
Source: RNAcentral
GAUGAACGCUAGCGGAGCGCCUAACACAUGCAAGUCGAACGGUACUUCGGUACAGUGGCAGACGGGCGAGUAACACGUGCUUAAUUUGCCUCGGAGCGGGGAACAACGGUUGAAAGGCCGCUAAUUCCCCAUACGAUCCUAGAAAUGAAAAUACUAGGAUGAAAGGUUUACCACUCUGAGAGAAGAGCGCGGCCUAUUAGAUAGUUGGUGAGGUAACGGCUCACCAAGUCGAUGAUGGGUAGCUGGUCUGAGAGGAUGAUCAGCCGCAAUGGAACUGAGACACGGUCCAUACCCCUACGGGGGGCAGCAGUGGGGAAUAUUGGACAAUGGAGGAAACUCUGAUCCAGCGACUCCGCGUGGAGGAUGACGCAUUACGGUGUGUAAACUCCUUUUUUGGAGGAAGACGACUGACGGUACUCCAAGAAUAAGCGACGGCUAACUACGUG